Molecule: ribosomal RNA, 786 nt
Filed under: uncultured Neocallimastigales
Lineage: Eukaryota; Fungi; Neocallimastigomycota; Neocallimastigomycetes; Neocallimastigales
Description: partial large subunit ribosomal RNA
Rfam family: Eukaryotic large subunit ribosomal RNA
Source: RNAcentral
AGAGAGAGACAUGCGCGCAUAUCAAUAAGCGGAGGAAAAGAAACUAACAAGGAUUCCCCUAGUAACGGCGAGUGAAGCGGGAAGAGCUCAAAUUUGAAAUCUUCAAGGUUCUACCUUGACGAAUUGUAGUUUAAAGAAGUGUUUUCUGUUAGUAGGAGUGGUAAAAGUUCUUUGGAAUAGGACAUCAUAGAGGGUGAGAAUCCCGUAUUUGGAUCCAUUAUUUCCUAGCUUUGUGACUACACUUUCAAAGAGUCGGAUUGUUUGGGAAUGCAGUCCAAAAUGGGUGGUAAAUUUCAUCUAAAGCUAAAUAUUGGCGAGAGACCGAUAGCGAACAAGUACCGUGAGGGAAAGAUGAAAAGAACUUUGAAAAGAGAGUUAAACAGUACGUGAAAUUGUCAAAAGGGAAGCGUUUGACACCAGUGUUGUUUUUCCGAAAAUCAAUUAAAAAUGGAUUCAUGCUAGGUAGUAUUUGACUUCAUCGGCUUGCUGCUUAGUUUUGGGUUCUUUUUUGAUGCACUUUUCGGUUAACAAGUCAACAUCAAUUUCUUUUGUUGUAAAAGGAAGUCAUUGGAAGGUGGCUUUCAGCUUCGGUUAAAGUGUUUAUAGCCUUUUACUUCUGCAGUCGGAGAGAUUGAGGUCUGCAGCGUAGAUCCUUCGGGGUUAGAUACAGUUUGUGCUAAGUUAUAGCUUUUCAUAAACAACUUGUUGACUAUGAUUAGUCAUUGUAGCUUACUCGCUUACUGCUAUUUUACCUACGCUUAGGAUGUUGACAGCAGUAUAGACUGU